RNAcentral lists this ribosomal RNA (253 nucleotides) under uncultured bacterium. RNAcentral's name for it is "partial 16S ribosomal RNA". It matches the Rfam family "Bacterial small subunit ribosomal RNA", at positions 524 to 776 of the family's 1533-position model. The record is from RNAcentral.
UACGGAGGGGGCGAGCGUUAUUCGGAAUUAUUGGGCGUAAAGGGCGCGUAGGCGGCUUGAUAAGUCAAAGGUGAAAUCCCUCGGCUCAACUGAGGAACUGCCUUUGAAACUGUCAGACUUGAGGCCGGGAGGGGGUAGCGGAAUUCCCAGUGUAGCGGUGAAAUGCGUAGAUAUCAGGAGGAACACCUGCGGUGUAGACGGCUUACUGGACCACUACUGACGCUGAGGCACGAAAGCGUGGGGAGCAAACAGG